This 73-nucleotide transfer RNA is filed under the name Paramuricea clavata. It matches the Rfam family "tRNA". From Rfam's summary of the family: Transfer RNA (tRNA) molecules are approximately 80 nucleotides in length. Their secondary structure includes four short double-helical elements and three loops (D, anti-codon, and T loops). Further hydrogen bonds mediate the characteristic L-shaped molecular structure. tRNAs have two regions of fundamental functional importance: the anti-codon, which is responsible for specific mRNA codon recognition, and the 3' end, to which the tRNAs corresponding amino acid is attached (by aminoacyl-tRNA synthetases). tRNAs cope with the degeneracy of the genetic code in two manners: having more than one tRNA (with a specific anti-codon) for a particular amino acid; and 'wobble' base-pairing, i.e. permitting non-standard base-pairing at the 3rd anti-codon position. Lineage: Eukaryota; Metazoa; Cnidaria; Anthozoa; Malacalcyonacea; Plexauridae. The record is from Rfam by way of RNAcentral.
GGCCUCGUAGCUCAGUUGGUAGAGCAUUGGACUAGUAUCCCAAAGGUCGCGGGUUUUAUUCCCACCGUGGUCA